GUUCUUGUUUCUGCAGCACAUAUACUAAAAUUGGAACAAUACAGAGAUUAGCAUGGUACCUGUGCAAGGAUGACACACAAAUUUAUGAAGUCUUCCAUAUUUUU
This is a small nuclear RNA of Cynocephalus volans (Philippine flying lemur), 104 nucleotides long. NCBI's taxonomy places the organism in Eukaryota, Metazoa, Chordata, Mammalia, Dermoptera, Cynocephalidae. The record is from RefSeq and is a predicted model, not a curated record.